UUCCAACGCUCGUUGACUCCCUCCCUUCCUUUCUCCGCCGCUCCGGGAAAGCAGCCCGGCAGCUCCGGGGCAGAGAGCAGGGAGGCGGCGGCGGCGGCGGCUCCGGGCGCGGGCUCCGCUCUGAGGGUUCGGGGAUGCCAAUGCGCCCGCGAGGCUGACGUCGGGGGCGUGGGGCUGUGAUGCUCGAGCGAGGAUGGCGCGGUGUCAGAGCCAUUGGCCGCCGGUGGUCAUCAAUCAAUCCGGGGCUGGGGGAAAGAGAGAGAGAAAGAAAGACAGGCGCCCAGCGGAGCCCGGGGCCGCGAGCGCCAGCUCCAGCAGUGCCAGCAGCGGCGGCAGCAGCGGAGGCGACGGUGGUGGCAACGGGGGACUGAGCGAAAACGCACAGUGGUAUUGAUGAGUAGAUCCUUGGGUUCAGAGGUUGGCUGAAACACACCAUGCCUGCUUCCAUCCUUUGCUCCGGAAAGUUGUGAAUUGCUCAUGCCUAUAGGGAGGAAGGAUGGCUCAUGGGAUUCCUUCUCAAGGCAAAGUUACCAUAACGGUGGAUGAGUACAGCUCAAACCCCACGCAGGCAUUCACACACUACAACAUCAACCAGAGCAGAUUCCAGCCACCGCAUGUACAUAUGGUCGACCCCAUCCCAUAUGACACUCCAAAACCAGCGGGCCACACGCGGUUUGUCUGCAUCUCAGACACGCACUCAAGAACAGAUGGUAUCCAGAUGCCUUAUGGGGACAUCCUUCUCCACACAGGCGAUUUCACCGAGCUGGGACUGCCCUCAGAGGUUAAGAAGUUUAAUGACUGGUUAGGAAACCUGCCAUAUGAAUAUAAAAUAGUGAUUGCUGGGAAUCAUGAACUGACAUUUGAUAAGGAAUUCAUGGCAGACCUUGUUAAACAGGACUACUACCGUUUCCCCUCUGUGUCCAAAUUGAAACCAGAGGACUUUGACAACGUUCAGUCCCUCCUGACAAACAGUAUUUACUUACAAGACUCGGAGGUAACAGUGAAGGGAUUCAGGAUAUACGGAGCACCUUGGACCCCGUGGUUUAAUGGAUGGGGCUUUAACCUGCCCAGAGGUCAGUCUCUGCUGGACAAGUGGAACCUCAUCCCUGAGGGCAUCGACAUACUCAUGACACACGGACCUCCUCUAGGUUUUCGAGACUGGGUUCCAAAGGAGCUUCAAAGAGUGGGCUGUGUGGAGCUUUUAAACACAGUCCAGAGGCGAGUCCGGCCCAAGCUCCAUGUAUUUGGUGGAAUCCAUGAAGGUUACGGCAUUAUGACCGACGGUUAUACAACGUACAUCAAUGCCUCAACGUGUACAGUCAGCUUUCAACCGACCAACCCUCCAAUUAUAUUUGACCUUCCAAACCCACAGGGUUCCUGAAGCUCUAAAAGCCCCCAUUGGAAUGUGAGGGAAGGUCUAUAAACUGCCAUUUUUCUAAUUAUAAACUUACAUUCUCUUACUUGUUUUUUUUCCAAAUCCCGGGAGUUCUUUUUGUAAAUUACUGGAACACAAAUGACGCUAGACGUUGUGCUGCUUCUUCUUUUUUUAAAUGGGGCGUCCAUUCUAAAUGAAAGGAGCAUUGUGAAUUUGUGAAAUGACUUCCCUUUUCUCAGAGGCCACGCCAUCGUAAAUUGUUAGUAUUCGCCAAAGGACAGCCAAGCUUUCUUUUUAAAAGGUGAUGAAAGUCUUAUUUUAAUAUGCUUUAAGCUGGAAGAAAAAGGAAGGAAAAAGAGAGAGAAACAGGUUUCAGAGGGUGACUAUUUCGUCUUGGCCAUUGUAAUUUCUAUAGGAAGGGUCACCGCGCAGUGGAGGCCGGAGAUGCUAUUGUGGUUGUGUCCGUGGUGGUGAGAGGGUGAACUGGUGGGUAAGAGAGUAACCACUACUCUGUCUCAUUUGUCUCCAGGAGCAGUUACUGUCAUCCCAUCGCUGUUCUUUAUUUAUGUCCAUCACUAAAAUGUUAUGGCAGCCAGGAGUCAACAGGCGGCAGUGGGGUGUGGUAAACUAAGUAAUGUCUUUUUUAUUUUCUCUGGAACAGCCACUGAAGAAAAGCAGCACAAUCUUGAAUCUGCAGUGUAGCCCAAAAGUCUGCAUUCCAGUGCCCAUUGGAUUAUAGUCUGAUAGAUCUUCCUUUCCUCCUUCUGUUGUAGACUCGUUGGUGUAAUUGAUGAAAAGAAUCCUUGAUUUCAGUACCAGCUGAGUAGAGAGGAUGUUUUAGGCCAUAAUUCCAGCUCAGACUCACGUGUAACCAUCUUAGCUGUUAAUAUUGAUGAAGUGUGUUGGCUGCCACCCAGAGUGUGGUGGACACUUCGGUCUGAGCUCACAGAGUAGAUGCUUGACCUUCCCAAGCAGAGGUGGUCCGUGACCAUAGUAGCCAUGAUGCGCCAAUAGAGGUGCCGUGAGAAGUUAACAACCCUCCUCUGAUCUGCCACAUCAGUAGAACAAGGUGUUGACUUCAGGGCUCUUCCUAGGGAGCUGGAGUGAGAGGUGACUGAUGGAAAUUUCAUCUGGAGCUAAGCUCAGACUUCUGGAAAAGCAGGCUUUCCAGAGACAGGUGGAUGGGUGGAUGGUCAUGAUGACAAGUGUGCAUGUACAGCUCUUGACAGCACGUCUGGACACAAACUAAUUAAGCUAAGCACUUACUAAAAUUGCUUUCCAUUGUGGGGGGACCGGAAGCACCCCAGCCUGCUAAAUCUACAGGGUAGACUGGCUUAUGGUCCAGGUUCACCAUCCAUGUGUCUGAAUAGCCUCCAGGAGGGCCAGGAUGACUGUCCAAAGGCCUGAAGCUUUCUCCACUGGGCCUUCUAACAAAGCAACAUUUGAAAUAGCUCUUACAAAUUGGCACUUUCCGUCCUUUCAUCACCAGGCACUCUGCUGAGCAGGUCUCAUAUUUUGCUUCUAAUCCUCACAAAACCCUCAGAGAGGUCACAUAAGCCCCACUUUAUAGAUAGGAAACUAAGGCUCCAAAAGUUAAAUAAAUUUCCCUAGGAAAAUGCAAGGUUCAAAACCAGAUCUGUCUGAAUUCAUAGCCCCUGCCCUUUUUAUCACCUGGCCUCUGGACUAGAAAAGUUGAUGCUCUUCAAGAGCUGAUAAAAAACUGAUAUGGGCCUGGGGGCAUGUCUUAUCACUUUAUGGGGAUGCUGUCAGAGCAUCCUUCAGAUUGGACCACUUCCUCUCUGCUUGAGACACAGCACCAUAGCGGUAUGAGCACAGAGCCUGGCGCCCGUGUGCCUGCCCACGUCCCAACUCCUCCUCGGACUGGCUCUGAUGCCUUUGGCUGGGUACUUAGCAUCGCUAUAAAAGGGGGUUGAUGAUGAUGCAGUGGCUGUAAGUUGUGAUAGGGAGAUCACUGCCUGGCAUCCAGUUUGUUGAAUAAGGUCCCCCAGGCUGCCUUGAAAUUCUCCGGGCAGGACCUGUCUGUUUCCUCCACCCUCAAGAGCACCAGUGGCAUUAUUUCUGAGAAAGCAUAUUGGUUUGCAUUCCUUGGAAACUAUAAGGAACCUCUUUCAUAAGAAUAUGAAGAACCCCCAAGGACAUUUGUGAGAGGCACAUAAGGGGGCCUGACUUUUCAGUGUGGGUAUCAUGUUUUGCAAAUCCCUUCUAAUCUCAGGAGAGGAAGGGGUCUGUACUCCUCAGAGUUGCUUUAAAUGGCGCCUGUGGAUCGCAGUAUCUCUCACUCCUUGGAGUCUUUACAUUCCAUGUCACCAUCUCCUUCAAGCUCAAUUAGUGCGUUUUUUCUCUACAUUUUCUCCCAAUCCCCUUUUGUCUUAUAAAGAUGUUGGGGGGUUGCUGAAAUCCCCUUAAGAGGCAAGUCACUGUUAUUCUGACAGGUGGCCAGCGUUAAGCCUGCCUUCAUCUCCAUCACUUAAGUAAAUAAAUACUGUGACCCAGGUCUUAAGUAGGGAGAAACAGAAGCUGGGAGGAUUUGGGAUUUGUCAAUUGCAGAUAAAAUACUUGUGCCCAGAAUAAUGUCCCCUCCCCCACCCCUUACCCAGCAAGGCUAUGCUGCUCCGUCAGACUGAAUAUCUAUCUUUCAUUUUGGUUUCUCAUUAUCUUUUCAUGCCCUGUCCCCACUUUCCCAAAAGUUUUAAGUACUUUUUGUUUAAUUAUGAAACCAAACUGAAUUAAAGUCUACUUUGCUCUGAGAAUUUGGCUAUAAGCUGAGGCAUUUGGAAACACUGCUGGGUAUGGGGCAGGAGGCAUUUGGAUGCUGGCAGGGUCCCAGGACUGGACAUUCUUAAUAAGUGGUUUUAUAGAAGGUUCCAGGCCGUCUUCUGGAUGUCAGCUUCUAAAUGCAAAAUAUUUUUUCUCCUACUUUGUGAUGAAGUAGCAAGAUUGCUACUUGUAUGUCCACUUUCUGACCAGGUUCUUCCUGAAGUUUAGAGCUACUUUCCCUUCCUUUUCAAGAUGUCGUCUCUACCUUUCUGCUCCUAUCCUGCCUUUCCAUGGGAGAGAUAACCACAUUGAUUCAAAAGCCUCUCUGAGAAGACUACCUCUUCCCUGGUGCCCAUCAUCGUAAAGUCAGCCUCUGCAACUCGAGAAGUUCAGAGAGGGCCAGUGGCGCCACCAUGGUCACGCAGUAAAUCAGAAGAGAUAGCCCCGCACUGGCAUUUUGGCUCUUAACUUUGAGCAUGAACUGCUUUUCCGAUUUGACAUUCAGCAAUAAUCAAGGAUGGAGAGAUCAGUUUGGCCAGGCAUAAUGUGAUUAUGUAGCAGAAAACAACCUGCCUAUCUGUGGAGUAUUAUUAUUAAACCCGAUUAUUUGAAAGAAACCUUAGUAUCUGACCUCCAAGUGCUCCCAUGAGGAUUCACUUUCUUUCCUUUCAACCAGUCCACCUAUAAAAACUGAUGGGCCUCCCGUUCCUCCUCCCACAAGAGAGAUGUUGCUCUUUGUCACGUGUUUUGACCUACAUGUGUAUGUAUGUCCAGCCUGGAAGACACUGGGUGUCAGGAAGAGCCCCUGAUUUUGGAUUCAGAUGUGCUUGCUUUCAAAUCCCAGCAAUGCUGUUUACCAUCUGGUGGCCUUGGAUGUGCAACUUUACUUCUCUGAGGCUCAGGCUCCACACCUGCAUGAUGGGGGUAAUUCCUACCCCACGAUGGAUUUAUCAAAGUUGAUAAGAUAAUAUCACCAGGGUCGUAGGCCCAGGGAGCUAUCAUUAUACAUGGAAGAUCUUAUUAUGCUGUCCAUCACAAUUUCUUAAAAGAAAAAGGGGUUGGGGGAGGAGGGUAUAAAAGGAAACAUUUAGCUCAUUUUUCCAAGUUAUUCAGAGCCUUCACAAGAGAAAGUGAAUUCCUUGAACUGGACUGAGUCAAGGUAAUGGAACUACAAACCCACGCCAUCCAUAAAUUGAGCUCUUUAAAUUCCUCUCUCUCUCUCUCUUUAAACUACAAGACAAAACACUUGGUGGUAGGUUCUUCUCAACUCCUCAUUUCCUUCCUGAAUUAGGGUUGUCUUACAAGACAAAAAUCUUGAGGUAAAAGGCCUUUCAUAUCUGAGAGCAUCUAUAUAUGGGUAAUGGUGAGAGAGAGAAAUGCAUUUCCAUUAGGAAGCAUGGCCACAGUGGUACUAAAAGCACGAAUAGACUAAACACAGAGAGGCAGCGAGCCCGCACCCAUCAAUCAGCACUGAUUUUUAUGAAGCCACGGUUACCGUGAGGUGCAUCCGAGUGCUCUCAAAGCCCGCUUACCAAGGGAAGGGGUCUGUAAUUUCAUAGCCCAUUUCUGCCCUGACCUUAGUGGAUGACCUUGAGAAUAGGUUGAAAUUUUCAAUAGAAGCUUCUAAAAUAGCAAAUGACUUGGAACCCAAAUGCUCCAUGCUUGGGCUCACCAACAUGCCCUAGCACACAUUGGCUAUAAGGCUCAGGUACCAACUACUUAAUGCUCCGAAGGGACUCCUAUUUCCAGGAAGCCUUCCCUGAAUCCCCCUACUCAUAACCAGAACACCUCCUCUUGGUACUGCCGUGUCCCCCACAAGCACUGCCACCUGCUCCGUGUUCUGACUGUUGCUGGUCUGCCUGUGAGCUCCCUGAGGUCAGCGACCAGGUCUCUGCUUCUGCAUUCCCAGCAUCUGGGUCUGAAGAAGUGUUGUUUUAAUGAAUGAAUCUGUGUUGGGCAGACAAUAGUCAGGUGUGUGAGAAAGGUAGGAGAAAUUCAUCACAGAUGAAAUCAACAGACAUUUCCUGCACACUGCAGACACAGUGCUGGACCAGUAAGCUUUGUUUGCAAGACUCAGUUCUUGUCACGAAAAGUCCUUAUAAUUUGGUGAAGGAAACAAGACAUUGACACAUGAAGGUAAAUAGCAGUAAGAUUCAAAUGAUAGUUCAAAACAGCAAUAAAAGAAAAUCAGGGUCUGUGAUAGGUUUGUCCAUUUAUGUGAGUGGCCAUCGUUAUGGGGAAGUGCAGGCUGGGGAUUUAAGUCUCAGACAGGCACUGGCAGCUAACCUAGGAAGGGGAGUCUGAGUGAUAAUGAUAAUGUCAAUCCCAUGCAGCUUCAUUCCUGGAGGAGAAAAACCGGUCUGGCCAGUGGCAAUUCUAAGUGUGUCACGUAGCUGGUUUGUUUUCUUAAUUUACUCUAUGAAAUGGUUUUCUCUAAUGGCAUGCCAUUGACGAAAUGCACCAUAAUGUCUCCAUCCAUCACCUCCAAAUGCUUUUGCAUGCAUCAGUUGUUGACUUGUUUUCUCCCGUUCAGCACAUAAAUGAGAGGAAUGAUUUAUCCAAGGCCACCAGUUACUCUUAUGUGGAAUCUGAAAUAGCUCUCUGGAGAAAUACUGCCCUGAGCACAUGUUUCUUUAUGCUGUUCUCCACUUGUAUCAGAGGGUGACUUUGGCCUGGGCUGCACAGAUAUCCUUCUGACCAGGGUUUUCUGGGUUACUGAUCCAGGUGUCCAUUGUGGUCUGUGAGUCUCAGAUAUUAAGAGCUUGGGUUCCUGUGGGUAUGACCACUAGGAUUGCAUUAUGGGGUAUGGAAACCAGAGCUGUGGCCUUUGAAGCUGUGUGUGGGCAUUUGGACAAGCAGUGAUUCUCCCAUGAGCUCUCUUGAACUCACACUUACCAGGAAGAGAAAAGGUAUUACAUGCAUGAGUACAGUUCCCUUCCUUCUUUCAAUUUGUCCCACUUCCUUGAACUCCCCAUGCUGGAGACAUCUGGCCACUACCCCCUCAGUUUUGCAUAGAUUGGUAGAUCAGAAAUGCAAGAUAGAAGCAUCAAGAUAAUUCUUAACUGCUGAAGUUUCCUUGAGAGAAGGCAGAGUGUAGCAUUCUCUAAGUAAGAUCUGGUACUGACUCAAACACCAGAAGGGGCCACUCCACAAAGUUUUUGUCUCAUUAGAUGAUGGUGACGGUGUAGAUAAACAGUUUGAAGCAUCAGAUAAUACAGAGAUCGUGAAAUGUUAAACACAGUGCUCCUCUAUCUGUAGCAUUCAUAAAUGGUGGUGAGAUUUGAAAUACCGUGUUUAUAUUCUUAAUUUUUUUCAUAAUAAUAUUUUUAUUAUAUUAUAUUACUCACCAUACAGUACAUCCCUGGUUUCUGAUGUAAAGUUCGAUGAUUCGUUAGUUGCGUGUAACA
Ailuropoda melanoleuca (giant panda) is the source of this 7560-nucleotide RNA transcript. It is a transcript of the gene named metallophosphoesterase domain containing 2, with no coding region annotated. NCBI's taxonomy places the organism in Eukaryota, Metazoa, Chordata, Mammalia, Carnivora, Ursidae. The transcript is spliced from 8 exons. The record is from RefSeq and is a predicted model, not a curated record.